GAAAAUAACAUAUUCAUGUAUUACACUGUUUCAUACAAUACACAGAUUCUAACAUACAGACAGAUAACAGACACAUUAACAUAAAUAAAAUUCAUAUACAAAUUCCUUAGCAGCAACAAGAAUAUUUCCUAUCAUUUUCUACACACCACACACUAACAUACACUGUAUGUACGCAUAUCCUUGUGAUUGAAAAAGAAGAAGAAAUAAAAAUCAAUGGAAGUAUGGGAAGAGAGAAGAAAGAUUAAGAGAGAAACGAUGAGAGAACAGUGUCCGACGAAAUCUCAUCAGAAAUACUAUUUUCUACAGGCGACUCAAAAACCAGCGAAACCGCUGGUAUAUCUUUUGCCAGAAUCCAGUCAGGUCCGGCGAAAACCCAAACAAAAUAGAUCGAUUCUCUCCAUCAGUGAACCAAAUCGCUGGAAAUCGCCAAAACCACCCAAAAUCAAUUCGUCCCGUCACCAUUCCGACGACCCUCUUCACCGAAAAAUGGCAAAAACCCACCGACGCUGAUCUCCUUUUCCUUUUUCCCUCCCUGUCAGCCGCUGCGAACUAUUACUGACCGAAAAAAUAUACCCACCAGCCGCAUAAAUUUGGCUUAAGUCCUAUCGGAUCUGGCCAUCACCGGUGAACGGACAUUGCCAUUGAAAAAUACGCUACUU
RNAcentral lists this long non-coding RNA (659 nucleotides) under Capsicum annuum. RNAcentral's name for it is "long non-coding RNA (CANN_LNC019853)". Lineage: Eukaryota; Viridiplantae; Streptophyta; Magnoliopsida; Solanales; Solanaceae. The record is from RNAcentral.